This 282-nucleotide long non-coding RNA is filed under the name Homo sapiens (human). RNAcentral's name for it is "LHRI_LNC500.1". The record is from RNAcentral. Lineage: Eukaryota; Metazoa; Chordata; Mammalia; Primates; Hominidae.
GCAGGAGCAUUAAUCACCUGCUUCGACAUUGAUUCCCAAGUGUAUGAGUCACUGCUCUGAUUUUAGAUCACAUUUGUCCUCAUCACUCGGCAUAUCCACAUUGAUAUAGACACUGUUUUAUUGUAGUAAUAGACAUGUGAAGAAUAAUAUCACAUAUGAAAUUGGAAGUGUUUGUUGCGUGAAGACUAUACUUCUGUUUUCUACAGUGUAAUUCUGUCAUGUUCCUGUCCCAAUACACAAAGUAGAAAACAUCAAAGCCUAUGCUAAUUCAGGCAGGAGGAU